UUGUCAACAGGUUUGAAAUCUGUGACUAGAGACAGACAUAAGACAUUGACCUCAAAGACAACAUUAGAAUCCAAGAAUCCAAAUACCAAACUGAAUUCCUUUACAACUUUUUCAUGCUUUUGACUCGCAUUUCCUCACAACUGAGACUUAAAAUAUUUGUUGACAAGAUAUGAAUGCUGGUUCAUCUAUACUGUGUGAUGAUAAAGUUGAUAUAAGACCAGAUGUUAAUGAAGCUAGAAGAA
This 242-nucleotide long non-coding RNA is filed under the name Bos taurus (domestic cattle). RNAcentral describes it as "long non-coding RNA NONBTAT012183". Lineage: Eukaryota; Metazoa; Chordata; Mammalia; Artiodactyla; Bovidae. The record is from RNAcentral.